This 255-nucleotide long non-coding RNA is filed under the name Elaeis guineensis (African oil palm). RNAcentral's name for it is "long non-coding RNA (EGUI_LNC071030)". Lineage: Eukaryota; Viridiplantae; Streptophyta; Magnoliopsida; Arecales; Arecaceae. The record is from RNAcentral.
GGAAGGAGACAGUCGUCGAGACCGGCGGGCAUCAUGCCGUAGCUGCCUCUCUUCCUCUCAGUGGGAGUGCUGUGACAGCUGCUCCCGAGGAGGGGACGGAGACCGACGCGGGCGUCGGCGGCUGCUCCUAGAGGGCAUCGGACGCGUCAUCGAUUGCUCCGUCGGUAAUCGGGUGGGUUAUAGGCUUUUGACCGCGUUCGUCAACACGGUCAUCUGCCGCACGAUCGCUGCGAUCUGCGCCUCCGUGGUCACCGC